CAAAGCAACUUGGUACCUAAUU
RNAcentral lists this microRNA (22 nucleotides) under Dinoponera quadriceps. RNAcentral's name for it is "dqu-miR-306-3p". Its record names the gene dqu-miR-306-3p. The record is from miRBase by way of RNAcentral. Lineage: Eukaryota; Metazoa; Arthropoda; Insecta; Hymenoptera; Formicidae.